Long non-coding RNA from Poecilia latipinna (sailfin molly), 107 nucleotides. RefSeq lists it as uncharacterized. The transcript has 3 exons. Lineage: Eukaryota; Metazoa; Chordata; Actinopteri; Cyprinodontiformes; Poeciliidae. The record is from RefSeq and is a predicted model, not a curated record.
AUAAAUCAGAAAAAUUUUUCGGCUCUGCGAAGUUCAGGAGUUAACUUUCCCGGCGGUUUGCGCAUGCGCCCCGUCUUAAAGGGCGAGUCUGUGUUGAUACCACUGCU